RNAcentral lists this transfer RNA (72 nucleotides) under Phycisphaeraceae bacterium. RNAcentral's name for it is "tRNA-Gly". It matches the Rfam family "tRNA". Rfam says of the family: Transfer RNA (tRNA) molecules are approximately 80 nucleotides in length. Their secondary structure includes four short double-helical elements and three loops (D, anti-codon, and T loops). The record is from RNAcentral. Lineage: Bacteria; Pseudomonadati; Planctomycetota; Phycisphaerae; Phycisphaerales; Phycisphaeraceae. RNAcentral also lists the same sequence under 2 other names.
GCGGGCGUAACUCAGUGGUAGAGUGCCACCUUGCCAAGGUGGAUGUCGAGGGUUCGAAUCCCUUCGCCCGCU